UUGGUCAGGAGAAUCCUCUGCUUGAUUAGCCCUGAGUCUUGUUAGGGAAGGCAUGGUUGCAUCUCCUGGAUGGCAGACUGCGCUUCUGGGGUUUCUGGGCUGAAGCUGGUCCACACUCAGCAGACAGGAAGGAAAUGAGCCAGCCUGCAGGGUGCGGGCAUCCAGCCCAUAGGCGAGUCCACAAAGGAAGUCUGGGUGCUGCUGAGGAUGCCAAGCCUGGGGCAUUCAGUGUCAGUAUGCUUGGGAGUAUAACUUUCUGAAGGCGGUCACGGGGCUUGAGCUGAGCCUAUGAGGUCACUGUGUCCUCUGGAUACGUGGCUGUACAAAAAGCCACCACAUGUUCUCACCACACACCCACAUCAUGGACGGAAUAAUGCUGCAGAAGCCAGGAGGCUAACUCCAAAGCAAAGCUGCCGAAAGGAGGAAAAAAAAAAGAAAGAAAGAAAGAAAAAAGAAAAUUCCAUUUCUUCUACAGCGUGACUCUCUCGCCCUCUAUCGGCAAAGUUGGCAUCUUGCGGUGUUUACAGAGCGGCUUUGUGAGGAGGGUGUGUUUGGAACGGAGAAACAGUGACUUGAAAUUGGCACGGUAUUCUUUUGAUCCUCACAGUUAGGUCGUAAUUAAUAAAUUCGUGAAUGCCUUCAUCCAGUAACUGAUCGAAUGCAGAAGCAGACACCAACAGCUAAGCACUGAGCCAUACUCUUGGAAUUCAGUUGUACAGAUGGAGGAGAGGUAAAAUGGGAUGUCCAGAAAGGCUUUGUCUUCACCCCUAAUCAAGGAAACUUACCUUGGAACAGAGACCACCACAUAAAAUCACAACUAAUAAAAAUAUAGAGUUGUGGAGCCUACUCCCUACAUAAACCUGAAAAACACCCUCUUACUUAAGGCUCAGGAAACAUUACAGAAGAGGGGGAAGAAAUAUUAAAAGAACCAAAGGAUCAUGGAGUUUGCUAAGAUUCCUAGCAAUAGUUCAGAGGACACCUGAACUGGUCUACACCUGUAAUCAGAUUGAUGAAUACCCCAACUAUCAUCAUAGAGCCCUCAUCCAGUAACUGAUGAAACCAGACACAGAGAUCCACAACCAAGAACCAGGCCAAGCUCUGGGAAGUUGAAGAGAGGGAGGAGGGAAUAUAUGAGCAAGGGAGAUCAAGGUCAUGAAGGAGAAAUCUACGAAGACAGCUGAACCAAGCUUGUGGAAACUCAUUAACUCUAGACCAAAAACUGUGGAGACUCCAGUGGACUGAACUAGUACCUCUGAAUGUGGGAGACAGUAGCGAAGCUUAGACUAUCAGAGGGUCCCCUGGCAGUAGGACCACAAUACAAACCUGUUACUUGAGCUAGCUUGUUGGUGCCCAUUCCCCAUGGUGGAAAGCCAUGUUCAGUCUUAAUGCAUCGGAGAGGGACCAGGCCCUGAACCAACCUAAUGAACCAAACUAUGUUGACUUUUC
This 1446-nucleotide long non-coding RNA is filed under the name Cricetulus griseus (Chinese hamster). Its description in RNAcentral is "lncRNA (ENSCGRG00015037645.1)". Lineage: Eukaryota; Metazoa; Chordata; Mammalia; Rodentia; Cricetidae. The record is from RNAcentral.